This 253-nucleotide ribosomal RNA is filed under the name uncultured bacterium. RNAcentral's name for it is "partial 16S ribosomal RNA". It matches the Rfam family "Bacterial small subunit ribosomal RNA", at positions 524 to 776 of the family's 1533-position model. The record is from RNAcentral.
UACGUAGGGUCCGAGCGUUGUCCGGAAUUACUGGGCGUAAAGAGCUCGUAGGUGGUUUGUCGCGUUGUCCGUGAAAACUCACAGCUCAACUGUGGGCGUGCGGGCGAUACGGGCAGACUGGAGUACUGCAGGGGAGACUGGAAUUCCUGGUGUAGCGGUGGAAUGCGCAGAUAUCAAGAGGAACACCGGUGGCGAAGGCGGGUCUCUGGGCAGUAACUGACGCUGAGGAGCGAAAGCGUGGGGAGCGAACAGG